UACGGAGGGUGCAAGCGUUGUUCGGAAUCACUGGGCGUAAAGGGCGUGUAGGCGGUCCGCUAAGUCUGAUGUGAAAGCCCGGGGCUCACCCCCGGAAGGGCAUUGGAAACUGGCGGACUCGAGUCCCGGAGAGGAAGGUGGAAUUCCUGGUGUAGCGGUGAAAUGCGUAGAUAUCAGGAGGAAUACCGGUGGCGAAGGCGGGUCUCUGGACAGUUCCUGACGCUGAGGCACGAAGGCCAGGGGAGCAAACGGG
This 253-nucleotide ribosomal RNA is filed under the name uncultured bacterium. RNAcentral's name for it is "partial 16S ribosomal RNA". It matches the Rfam family "Bacterial small subunit ribosomal RNA", at positions 524 to 776 of the family's 1533-position model. The record is from RNAcentral.